AGGGCCACCUCGCGUCGCAUCGUCUCCUGUUCGCCCACCCACUUCUGGAGACCGGAGCCUCCACCCCCCACGUUGCCCAGCCCAGGAUGCUGGGCGCCUGCCCUGUGGUCUGGCGGGGCUCCCAGUCCCUGUGUCUGAAGGCGAUUGCAGGUGUGCAGUGCCGAAUGUCCUGAGGUGAUUGAGCAGAAGAAGGACGGGGGAACAGAUGAGAGGGUUUGCACAGGAAGAGAGGCGCACCACCACUCUGCUGGAGAGAGGAGGGAGACCUUUCUGGGAGGCAAAUGGACGUCAUAUUUCAAGGCUUUGAAAUCAGGCCUUCCCUGAUAUGAUAACUCCACUCGGAGAAGUGAUGUAGAAAUAAACAAGGAUACAGAUCAAGAUCUAAGGACAAGGCAGUUCAUCACGGCAGGAAGUGGGGAACGUCAGUGACCAACAGUGGAAGACCAGCAUUAAUAAAUUACGGCACACUACAUAAUGGCAUAUUAUCCAGCCAUUAAAAUCGUUUUCUCAAAGAAUGUUUGAGUCAAUGGGGGAAACGUUCAUGGUAUACGCUACAGGUUAAACAAAGGAGAAUACGAAAUUGCAUAUACCAGUUCAAUCCAAAAGAAUCCUGUCAUGAUGGAAAUGUUGGGUGUCCCUACUGUCCAGUGUUUUAGCCACUAGUCACAUGUGACUACUAAGCACUUGAAAUCUUUGGUUAUUGU
Molecule: long non-coding RNA, 704 nt
Organism: Suricata suricatta (meerkat)
Lineage: Eukaryota; Metazoa; Chordata; Mammalia; Carnivora; Herpestidae
Exons: 3
Source: RefSeq, a predicted model, not a curated record